Non-coding RNA from Caenorhabditis elegans, 330 nucleotides. The record is from Ensembl. Lineage: Eukaryota; Metazoa; Nematoda; Chromadorea; Rhabditida; Rhabditidae.
AAACGAGGUUGAGUAGGUGCAUUGUGUCAACUAAAAGAAACAUUAUGGAAUUGUUGCAAGUGGUUCUCGACCUAUUACCAUUUCGCGUUCUUUGGAAAACUUUUGCGCCAUUGGUCAACACAUCCAGUUCUGAAGAAGCGCGGGUCCCCACCGUGUCUCUCCGACAACACACCACCACCACCCACUUUGCAGAGAAGAGGGCACAGUGUGUAACUUAUUGUGAGACGAUUCAGAGGACAAACAAAUUGCGUGGUCAGUUUUGUUUUCAGGUGGGGUGGUCACUCUCUUUCAUUCUCUUCAUUGUGUGAUGGAACACAACUACCUUGAACC